This 254-nucleotide ribosomal RNA is filed under the name uncultured bacterium. RNAcentral describes it as "partial small subunit ribosomal RNA". It matches the Rfam family "Bacterial small subunit ribosomal RNA", at positions 26 to 285 of the family's 1533-position model. The record is from RNAcentral.
AGGACGAACGCUGGCGGCGUGCUUAACACAUGCAAGUCGAGCGGAAAGGCCCUUCGGGGUACUCGAGCGGCGAACGGGUGAGUAACACGUGAGUAAUCUGCCCCUAGCUCUGGGAUAGCUCCGGGAAACCGGGAUUAAUACCGGAUACGACCACCUUAGACAUCUUUUGUGGUGGAAAGAAUUUCGGCUAGGGAUGAGCUCGCGGCCUAUCAGCUUGUUGGUGGGGUAAUGGCCUACAAGGCGACGGACGGGUA